Molecule: ribosomal RNA, 1011 nt
Filed under: Salmonella enterica
Lineage: Bacteria; Pseudomonadati; Pseudomonadota; Gammaproteobacteria; Enterobacterales; Enterobacteriaceae
Also listed under: 2 other names
Description: partial 23S ribosomal RNA
Rfam family: Bacterial large subunit ribosomal RNA
Source: RNAcentral
AGACCCGAAACCCGGUGAUCUAGCCAUGGGCAGGUUGAAGGUUGGGUAACACUAACUGGAGGACCGAACCGACUAAUGUUGAAAAAUUAGCGGAUGACCUGUGGCUGGGGGUGAAAGGCCAAUCAAACCGGGAGAUAGCUGGUUCUCCCCGAAAGCUAUUUAGGUAGCGCCUCGUGAAUUCAUCUCCGGGGGUAGAGCACUGUUUCGGCUAGGGGGCCAUCCCGGCUUACCAACCCGAUGCAAACUGCGAAUACCGGAGAAUGUUAUCACGGGAGACACACGGCGGGUGCUAACGUCCGUCGUGAAGAGGGAAACAACCCAGACCGCCAGCUAAGGUCCCAAAGUCAUGGUUAAGUGGGAAACGAUGUGGGAAGGCCCAGACAGCCAGGAUGUUGGCUUAGAAGCAGCCAUCAUUUAAAGAAAGCGUAAUAGCUCACUGGUCGAGUCGGCCUGCGCGGAAGAUGUAACGGGGCUAAACCAUGCACCGAAGCUGCGGCAGCGAACGUAUCACCCAAGACAACUUUACGGAGUUGACGAUUGACGGAGCGAAGCGACGUCAAAGCGUUCAUUAAAGUCGAGUUGGCUUAGGGAUACGUUCGUUGGGUAGGGGAGCGUUCUGUAAGCCUGUGAAGGUGUGUCGUGAGGCAUGCUGGAGGUAUCAGAAGUGCGAAUGCUGACAUAAGUAACGAUAAAGCGGGUGAAAAGCCCGCUCGCCGGAAGACCAAGGGUUCCUGUCCAACGUUAAUCGGGGCAGGGUGAGUCGACCCCUAAGGCGAGGCCGAAAGGCGUAGUCGAUGGGAAACGGGUUAAUAUUCCCGUACUUGGUGUUACUGCGAAGGGGGGACGGAGAAGGCUAUGUUGGCCGGGCGACGGUUGUCCCGGUUUAAGCGUGUAGGUGUGUGUUCCAGGUAAAUCCGGUUCACUUUAACACUGAGGCGUGACGACGAGGCACUACGGUGCUGAAGCAACAAAUGCCCUGCUUCCAGGAAAAGCCUCUAAGCAUCAGGUAAC